Molecule: ribosomal RNA, 300 nt
Filed under: uncultured Streptomyces sp.
Lineage: Bacteria; Bacillati; Actinomycetota; Actinomycetes; Kitasatosporales; Streptomycetaceae
Description: bacterial SSU rRNA
Rfam family: Bacterial small subunit ribosomal RNA
Source: RNAcentral
GGCUGACUCCGGGCCAGGAGCCGGGGGAAUGCGGGGGGGGCGGGGGUGAAUGGGAAGUACGGGGCGUAAGGCGUGCGGAGGCGGUGCGGGCAGGCAGCCGUGAAAGCCCCGGGCUCAACCUGGGAACGGCGGUUGAGACGGCCGGACUAGAGUGGGCUAGAGGAUCGUGGAAUUCCGGGUGUAGCGGUGAAAUGCGUAGAGAUCCGGAGGAACACCGAUGGCGAAGGCAGCGGUCUGGGGCCACACUGACGCUGAGGCACGAAAGCGUGGGGAGCAAACAGGAUUAGAUACCCCAGUAUC